This 303-nucleotide ribosomal RNA is filed under the name uncultured bacterium. RNAcentral describes it as "partial 16S ribosomal RNA". It matches the Rfam family "Bacterial small subunit ribosomal RNA", at positions 507 to 807 of the family's 1533-position model. The record is from RNAcentral.
AGCAGUCGCCGCGGUAAUACAGAGGGUGCGAGCGUUAAUCGGAUUUACUGGGCGUAAAGCGUGCGUAGGCUGCUUUUUAAGUCGGAUGUGAAAUCCCUGAGCUUAACUUAGGAAUUGCAUUCGAUACUGGGAAGCUAGAGUAUGGGAGAGGAUGGUAGAAUUCCAGGUGUAGCGGUGAAAUGCGUAGAGAUCUGGAGGAAUACCGAUGGCGAAGGCAGCCAUCUGGCCUAAUACUGACGCUGAGGUACGAAAGCAUGGGGAGCAAACAGGAUUAGAUACCCGAGUAGUCCCUGUCUCUUAUAC